Molecule: transfer RNA, 72 nt
Filed under: Camelus bactrianus (Bactrian camel)
Lineage: Eukaryota; Metazoa; Chordata; Mammalia; Artiodactyla; Camelidae
Also listed under: 2 other names
Rfam family: tRNA
About the family: Transfer RNA (tRNA) molecules are approximately 80 nucleotides in length. Their secondary structure includes four short double-helical elements and three loops (D, anti-codon, and T loops).
Source: Rfam by way of RNAcentral
GUGAGUACAGCUCAGCGGUAGAGCACGUGCUUAGCAUGCAAGAGGUCCUGGGUUCAAUCCCUAGUACCUUCA